RNAcentral lists this ribosomal RNA (407 nucleotides) under uncultured bacterium. Its description in RNAcentral is "bacterial SSU rRNA". It matches the Rfam family "Bacterial small subunit ribosomal RNA", at positions 355 to 776 of the family's 1533-position model. The record is from RNAcentral.
UGGGGGAUAUUGCACAAUGGAGGAAACUCUGAUGCAGCAACGCCGCGUGAGGGAAGAAGGUCUUCGGAUUGUAAACCUAAGUAGUCAGGGACGAAAGAAAUGACGGUACCUGAAGAGUAAGCUCCGGCUAACUACGUGCCAGCAGCCGCGGUAAUACGUAGGGAGCGAGCGUUGUCCGGAUUUACUGGGUGUAAAGGGUGCGUAGGCGGGCUUGCAAGUCAGACGUGAAAUACCGGGGCUCAACUCCGGGGCUGCGUUUGAAACUGCAGGUCUUGAGUGAAGUAGAGGCAGGCGGAAUUCCUAGUGUAGCGGUGAAAUGCGUAGAUAUUAGGAGGAACACCAGUGGCGAAGGCGGCCUGCUGGGCUUUAACUGACGCUGAGGCACGAAAGCAUGGGGAGCAAACAGG